RNAcentral lists this transfer RNA (72 nucleotides) under Cocculina subcompressa. Its description in RNAcentral is "tRNA-Gln". It matches the Rfam family "tRNA". From Rfam's summary of the family: Transfer RNA (tRNA) molecules are approximately 80 nucleotides in length. Their secondary structure includes four short double-helical elements and three loops (D, anti-codon, and T loops). Lineage: Eukaryota; Metazoa; Mollusca; Gastropoda; Cocculinidae. The record is from RNAcentral.
UGUGAAAUAGCAUAAUAGGAAAUGCAUAGAAUUUUGAAUUCUAAGAUGAAAGUUCAAAUCUUUUUUUUACAA